This 5016-nucleotide unclassified non-coding RNA is filed under the name Mizuhopecten yessoensis (Yesso scallop). RNAcentral's name for it is "filamin-A-like, transcript variant X5". The record is from RNAcentral. Lineage: Eukaryota; Metazoa; Mollusca; Bivalvia; Pectinida; Pectinidae.
GCCACUCAACGUCAAUGAACAUAGCGCUCACACCCAUUCUGGUACAAGUUUUUCACUGUGGUCCAGAAAGGUUUGUGUACAACGUUUCGACAGAAAACGUCUGCAGCCACAGUACACUGUGGGAAGCUCGGACAUCUUAUUGUUAAUUAGCAGCCCAAGGCAAAUACCUGCUUGUCAAAUCGAUAGGACGAGCUACAGGGCUGCUUUCAUCUCAACCGGCCCGACUUGAAAUUUGACACCGGUAGAGUUUACCUGUGGACUCUUCGGACGUAGAAAGGAACAGUUUUUGGUGAAAAUGUCGCUUGUCAACAGGGCGUUAUCUCGGGAGGGGCAUGCCGCCAUGAGCAUGAGGGGGGAGUCGGACAGAUGGAUUACGAUUCAGAAAAACACGUUUACUAACUGGGUAAAUGAACAGCUGAGAGUCGGAGGGAAUACAAGAAUGGUAGAGGAUCUACAAACCGCUUUUGAGGAUGGAGUAUUGCUAUGUGCACUUAUUGAAUCUCUACAAGGGAAGAAAAUCGGACGGGUCAUAAAAAAACCAAUGAACCACCAUCAGAAUCUGGAGAACUGUACCCUGGCACUGGCGGCUAUUGCCAAUGAUAACGUGCGCCUUGUGAACAUAGGAAGUGACGAUAUCUCCAACGGUAACCUGAAGCUGAUUUUGGGGUUGAUAUGGCAUCUUAUUCUACGUUACCAAAUUGGCAAGACCAAGUUCCCCGCCAAAAAGCUGAUGUUGGCAUGGCUACGAGCCGUUAUCCCAGAAUGCGGCAUCACAAACUUCACCUCAUGCUGGAACGAUGGCGUUGCUCUCCAUGCCCUAGUGAAUUACUGUGACCCAAGGAUAGAGGAGGCCACUAACUGGAGAUAUCUUAGUCACAGUGAUAGUCUGAACAACUGUAGCAAUGCCAUGAACCUGGCCAAGCAGCACUUUGACAUUCCCCUGGUCGUACGACCCGAGGAUCUGUCCAGCCCCGACCUUGACGAGCUGUCUGGAAUGACCUACUUGUCCUACUUCAUGAAGAUUGACUCGCCUGGUUACAUGGCAACCAGGAACAUGGUCCGCAACCUCCUUAGGAGUGGUACCUUCAACAACUUCACAGAAGACUGGGCUGAUGGGAGACUGUUGUGUAACCUUGUUACCUCCCUUGGAGAGUCUGCCUCACCUAUGGGUAAUCCAGUGGACGACUUACAGCAGGGUAUUGAUGCGGCCCGCAGGCUGGGCGUGGAGCCUAUCCUCACAGCCAAGGAGAUGUGUGACCCAGAGGUCGAUCAUAUCGGAAUCAUGGCAUAUGCAGCAUAUUUCGGAAACUUUAAGCCUGUUCGCACAGCAGCAGAGAAGGUUGUCAUGGAGGCGGGUCCCAGGAACGUCUUCAUUGAACAGGAGGCCGAUUUCUCGCUGCGUAUAGAUGAUUCUGAGCUAACCGCGUCAGAUGUGAGGGCCGAGAUUAAGGGACCUGACUCCAACCCUGCUGUACACUUUAACUGGGUUGGGAGCCGAGCCACUGGAACGUUUACCCCAACAGAGACUGGGCACCACAGGCUGAAUGUUUACUGUGAAAACUCACUCAUUGUUGGAUGUCCAGUGUCCUUCAAGGUCCUUGCUGACAGGUCAAGGGUCAGAUACAUCGGUCCAGACAGGUGUUCUGCUGGUCUUAUCUCUGAACUAAAGGUUGAUGUUACGAGUGCAGGACAGGGCGACAUCCAGUGUGAGGCGCGGUCACCUAGUGGACGUACGGUCAACAUGGCCGCUGUAUACCGAAACGGCAAUUACGUGAUGAAUUUUACUCCAACAGAAGUUGGUAUUUGGCAGGUGUCUGUACUGUACGAUGGAGAACACAUCUCAGACAGUCCUUACAAUGUGACGGUGUUUGACCCUUCAAGGGUGCGCGUGUACGGACUAGAGGGAGGUUCUGUCGGAACAGGACUCAAAUUCCACGCUGACACCUCGGAGUCUGGGACCGGGGAUGUAACUGUACAGGUGUCGUGUAACGGCUCGCACGUCCCCGCCUACAUCCACCAGGACAGAGUGGGACUCUACAGCAUCGACUUCACACCCCAGGGAGCAGGCACAUACAAGGUUGAUGUCUACUUCAAUGACACGGAGGUCAGAGGUUCUCCCUAUACACUGGAGAUAGUGGAUUCUGCCCAGGUAAACGUUUCUGGAGACGGUCUCAGUUUGGUUCCAGUGAAUCGCACAGCGAGCUUCGUCGUUGAUACCCACGGAUCGGGGUCUGGCAAUGUGGAUGUGGAAAUCAGUGCACCAUCAGGCUCGAAGAUAAAAUCCAAAGUCUCCAAGGACAGGGGCAGACACAAUAUUGAGUAUUCCCCUACAGAGUCAGGUGACCACCAGAUCUAUGUGUCAUUCUGCGGCCAGCCCCUACAGGGCAGCCCCUUUGUCUGUCGUGUGUACGAUGUUGGGCAGGUGGUCAUCACCAACAUGCCGCAGUUUGCCUCCAUAGGGAAGAUGGUCAAGUUCCAAAUUGAUGCCUCCAAGGCUGGGUCUGGUAACAUAGAGAUCAUGGUGAACGACGGCCGUAUUCCCUGUAGUGUUCAGAACCUCGGCAAUUACUGCUUCAAUGCUUCCUUUGUACCCGAUAAUGUCGAACCUCACAGCAUAGAGAUGAAGUUCAACAGCAAGCCUGUUAGUGGGAGUCCCUGGAAAAUCCCGAUUCUGGACAUGAAGAAGGCGCUGAAGAUAAAGAGUGAGGCAGGCUGCUAUGUACUGUGUGACCGUACAGCCAAGUUUGAGGUGGAGUUUGAUGGAGAUUUGAUGGAAACCUUUGACAUAAAGAUAACAGCUCCUGGGGGUCGGACUGUACCGUUCAACAUUGUGCAAGGUCACAGUGACCAGACCAUCGAGUAUGUUCCCGAGGAAGUCGGUGAUCAUAAUAUCCACCUGAAGUACAUGGGAAAUGACGUGGAAGGAAGUCCUUUUACUGCCAAGGCUUACGAUACGUCCGCUAUCAUCAUCACGCCACUUCAAAACGGACUGGUCGGAUCAUCCUUUGAUUUCACAAUUGAUGUAUCGCAAGCUGGGGAAGGACAGCUGGAGAUCAUGGUCAACAACGGUAACCUUCCCAACACCGUUGAGUUGGAGCGUCCGAGUGUAUACCGCAUCACGUUCACACCGACCAGUGCUGGCAAACAGUAUGUCGACAUUAACUUCAACAGUGAAGCACUGCCAGGUUCCUCAUACUCGUGUAUGGCGUACGAGGGUGCUGGCGUCACCCUGACAGGGAUGGACAACAUUAUCCCCGCCAACAGGUCCACGUCCUUCAGCAUUCAGUGCGAGUCGGAUGAGGUCACACCGGAGGUCGAAGUCACCUCUCCAAGUGGAAGCAAGUUGUCGGCCAAGAUCCGCGAGACGAGACCGGGCGCCUACUGUGUGGAAUGGAAACCUACAGAGAUCGGGAGCCACCUGGUGGAGGUUUAUUUCGCUGGGUCUCUAAUCCCAGGAUUCCCUAGUGUCGUCAAGGCAUUUGAUGCCAACAAAGUGAAGUUGUUGACUCAGCUCGGCAGAGCAGAAGUGGGAGAGAUGUACGAGUUAACAUUUUUGGUGGAUGAAGCUGGUGAAGGUCGUUUAGAGGUGGUUGUAGAGUGUGAAGGGGAGACAAUUCCUAGUUUUGUGGAGAGGAGAAAGGAAGGACAGCUGACUGCAACUUUCACUCCUAGGGCCGGCAAAAAACACCUGAUCAUCAUCACCUUUAACGAUCUACAUGUUCCAGGUUCACCAUUUGCAAUCACAGUAGAAGAUAUGGAGAAGAGGGUGACAAGAGUUGAGGAGACUGUGGUCACUUCAUCUGUCACACAACCUCUGUCGGUCAACGUCCAGCCUCUAUCGGUCAACAUCCACGCUCGCCACCUUCAAAUAGACAAGCGCCAGUGGUUCGUCCUGGAGACGUACGGCGGGGACAUCGACUCGCAGAAUCUCCAAAUACAGAUCAUAGCAUCCAACGGAAUUGUAAUACCUGCUCGCCUUGUGUCCCAGUCUGGAGGUAACUUCCGUGUGGAAUGGACCCCAACCCCACCAGGUCGACAUCGCGUGGAGGUACAGUUUUCGGGUCGCCAGGUAGAUGGAAGUCCGUUCUACGUUGACGUGUUUGACCUUCUCUCCAUCCGGGUCAACAACUUUCAACAAGGAGGAAUUGGUGAACAGGCUAGCUUCAAUGUUGACCUUGCUGAUGCUGGGUCCCUGGAGAGCACCAUACAAGUUGUCAGUCCAUCUGGACGAAAUGUCAACAGCAGCGUCGGUGGCGACUACCUGAAGUCGGUCACUUAUGUACCUGAUGAGGGAGGACCCUACCAGAUCUUCGUCAGCUAUGCUGGGUUUGAGCUUCCAGGCUGUCCGUUUAUCCAGAACAUUGACGAGGGAGGUCUCCCCACAGCCGACGGAGAUGGACUGUUCCGUGGAGAAGAGGACAAUGUGGCCACAUUUUACGUUGAUGUCGGGAAGAGGAGGGGAGAACUGGGAGUACAAGUUGAUGGCCCAAACUCCAUUGCCAAGACAACAAUAGAGCCUUCAGGUGACCGGUACGUGUGUACUUACGUCCCUGUAGAGGUGGGCGUGUUCAAUCUACAGCUCCAGUGGAAUGGCAAAAACAUCCCAGGGAGUCCUUUCCACCCUAAGAUCGUGGACCCAAGGAAGGUGAAGAUUUAUGGUGGCUGGCAGACCUUGAUGGACAGCCAGGAAAGAGUGAAACUGAUUGUUGGGGAGGAGAAGCGCCUUGUGUUUGACGUGUCACAGGCAGGUCCAGGCAUCUUGAAGGGAGAAGUACAGGGACCAUCCUCUUCCCUGCCAGUCAUAGUGGACGGUCAUACUGUGGGGCAGAAUGUCAUCUGUUUUACCCCCGAAGAGGAAGGUAAGUACAGGAGGUAGUGGACGGUCAUACUGUGGGGCAGAAUGUCAUCUGUUUUACCCCCGAAGAGGAAGGUAAUCACUACAUCCACCUGUUCUGGGCAGAACGCACACUUCCCAGCUCUCCAUUCAUUGGCUACGCUGUUCGCCUAUCUGCUGAU